Molecule: long non-coding RNA, 2229 nt
Filed under: Durio zibethinus
Lineage: Eukaryota; Viridiplantae; Streptophyta; Magnoliopsida; Malvales; Malvaceae
Description: long non-coding RNA (DZIB_LNC002467)
Source: RNAcentral
CCUAUGAAUAUAUUCGAUAUCAAAAUAAAAUAGCUCAACUGAGGAAUUUUGUCAUGGAUAUAGGCUUUGAAGAGAAAUGUGUAUUCCAACUUUUACAUUUUUUUAUUUAAUUAGACUUAAUACUUGUAUUAAUACAUGCUUGCAUUGUUUCAUUCAUUUGAUUAAAAUUUGCAACAAUCAAUUGUAGGGUAAUUGGCAGGGAAAUUGUUGCCUACCACGUUCCCUCUGGCUUUUACAAACAAUGGGCGGUGGCCUCUGAGUCGAAAGACCUGAUCCUCCAAUCUCUUCCACGCACGCAUGCAUGUGAGAACUAGGAAAAAUAAAGUUUAAUUAGUAAUAUGAUCAAGUGACUUUCCAUAAAAUGAAAGAAAAAGGGGCCAAAUUUAUUAACAAUAGAAGAUCCUCAUGUGCAUUUCUGCCCACUCCGAUUUGGUCCAUGAGACCAUGACUGCACAAGAGCAAGUCCUUUAGGUUUGACUCAAGGGCAGGGGCAGCCUUCCUUUUGCACCCCCAAUAAGCUAUCUUCAUCGUAUCCUUUCCCUUACGAAAUUUGAAUGCGUAGUCUUAUUUUUUAUUCUACUUUCUAAGAUUUUGUUUGAUCAAUUGCUGAUCUUGGUGAUUAUUGAAAUUGAACACACCAUCAUUAAGACCAGCUUAUGAUUUGCCACAGCCCUCAAAGGUAAAAACUCUAUUUGACAACAGUCUUGGGUCCAUGGCCAUUCUAGGAUUGAGCUGCUGCUCAUUAUCUUGCUUUAAUUCUUUCCAAGCAUGGGAAAGAUUGGGACCUACAAAUACAUAUUUCCUUUAUGUCAUAGAGUUGGGCUAAUCAAAGUACCCAUAUCAUUUAUAUAUAAAAGAGAAUAAUAUUAUACACAACAACAUAGAGAGCGUAUCAUUGUGAUAUAACAUAAUUACAUAAAUAUAGCUAGACAAAUAGGGUGAAAGAAUCGAUUCUUAACUAAUCAGAUGUGUACAGUUAACGACGCAUGUUAAAACAAGCGGAGGGAGGGGGAAAAAAGGGAAAAAAGAAUUGAUCAACAACAGAUCAGACAGUUAAAACUACCGAAUCAAAUGAACUAAUGCAUCUACUCCAUGUCAUCUUCUUUUGACAAUAUAUAUAGUCCAAGUUCUUGCAACUCCAAAAGAACCUCAUCUGCUUUUGGUCACUCUUUUAAGAUAAAGAAGCGAAGUAGUACUAACAAGCAGCCCCUUAUGACCAAAAUAUGACACCACACAGGCUCCUUAUUAUGCAGGAAUUGCACCUAAUGUAUAAUGUCAAAAUGCAGAAAGGAGGUUAUAAUCAUAUUAUGUCCUUAGAAACCUCCUUCACUCAUGCCUUUUCUUGUUUACUCUUUCCCAGUUCCUAGCUCUAAGACGAAUGUGAAAUGGGGCAAAAGGGCUGCUCUUAGUCUUAGGAUUUCUCUUUCCUUGUUGCUUGAAUGAUUUCUUCCUAAUUCUUUCACUCCUAGUUAUUCUCCAAGGACUGCAUUUAACCAUCUAUGAGCUUAAAAGACAGAUUCCUUUUCAGUCUGAUCUUUCAUGCCUCACAUUUUCUGUAAAAAAAAGAAAAAAGGAUAGGUACCCAUUAUAGAUAACCAGCGGUUUAGCUCUAUUGCAAAAUCUGUUUCUUCCCCCUGCCCUCUAAUCUACUGUUCUAUUCACUUCUUUCUGUGAUCUGCAGAGCAAAUUUUCAUUGUUUUUUCCAUUGGAUUAAUUGUUUAACAGCUCCUUUCUAUUGAGUUGAUGAUACAUCAAUUUAACACUAUCACAAUCAGAUGAUGGGUUAAUCUUUUUUCCAUUAACAGUAUCACAAUCAAAGCUACAUCCACAAGUUGGGCACUCACGGAAAUUAUCAACAUAAAAAUCAGAAGAAGCAAUCCCAAUUGAGAAAUUCCAUUGGCAGUCUUUCUAAGGGCAACUUUCAACAAACACAUGGACUAUAACAGCCUAUUAAACCAACAAUAAACAUGAAACAUCAUAUGUAAAAAGGAUCCACUUCAAAACAAAUGAAUAUAGAAUAAAGAGCCAACCAUGUGAUUGAAAAAUACCGAGUCUUCAGAUGAGAAAAUUUCUUCAAAAACUAGGCCUGUGAUUUGGAGGAAGAACUUGAUACCUCGACCAAGUUGGAAAACUUUGUCGAGCCGCUCAUCAUUCGGAGGAGGAAAGAAGUUUCUGGUGGCUUUGGUGGAAAAAGGCCAUGGCUUCUCCUUGGAGCUGGAGUGGCCUGCC